GAGUUUGAUCAUGGCUCAGAACGAACGCUGGCGGCAGGCCUCAAACAUGCAAGUCUAGGGGGUGUAGCAAUACAUCACCGGCGGACGGGUGCGUAACGCGUGGGAAUAUACCUAUUGGUUCGGAACAACUGAGGGAAACUUCAGCUAAUACCGAAUGUGCCCUUACGGGGAAAGAUUUAUCGCCAAUGGAUUAGCCCGCGUCCGAUUAGCUAGUUGGUGAGGUAACGGCUCACCAAGGCUCCGAUCGGUAGCUGUUCUGAGAGGAAGAUCAGCCACACUGGGACUGAGACACGGCCCAGACUCCUACGGGAGGCAGCAGUUGGGAAUCUUGGACAAUGGGGGAAACCCUGAUCCAGCCAUGCCGCGUGAGUGAUGAAGGCCUUCAGGUUGUAAAACUCUUUCGACGGGGACGAUAAUGACGGUACCCGUAGAAGAAGCUCCGGCUAACUUCGUGCCAGCCGCCGCGGUAAC
RNAcentral lists this ribosomal RNA (471 nucleotides) under uncultured Alphaproteobacteria bacterium. RNAcentral describes it as "bacterial SSU rRNA". It matches the Rfam family "Bacterial small subunit ribosomal RNA", at positions 9 to 524 of the family's 1533-position model. Lineage: Bacteria; Pseudomonadati; Pseudomonadota; Alphaproteobacteria. The record is from RNAcentral.